Molecule: ribosomal RNA, 2294 nt
Filed under: Providencia rettgeri
Lineage: Bacteria; Pseudomonadati; Pseudomonadota; Gammaproteobacteria; Enterobacterales; Morganellaceae
Description: partial 23S ribosomal RNA
Rfam family: Bacterial large subunit ribosomal RNA
Source: RNAcentral
AUAGGGGAGCCGUAGGGAAACCGAGUCUUAACUGGGCGAAUGAGUUGCAGGGUAUAGACCCGAAACCCGGUGAUCUAGCCAUGGGCAGGUUGAAGGUUGGGUAACACUAACUGGAGGACCGAACCGACUAAUGUUGAAAAAUUAGCGGAUGACUUGUGGCUGGGGGUGAAAGGCCAAUCAAACCGGGAGAUAGCUGGUUCUCCCCGAAAGCUAUUUAGGUAGCGCCUCGUGAACUCAUCUUCGGGGGUAGAGCACUGUUUCGACUAGGGGGUCAUCCCGACUUACCAACUCGAUGCAAACUACGAAUACCGAAGAAUGUUAUCACGGGAGACACACGGCGGGUGCUAACGUUCGUCGUGAAGAGGGAAACAACCCAGACCGCCAGCUAAGGUCCCAAAGUCAUAGUUAAGUGGGAAACGAAGUGGGAAGGCUCAGACAGCCAGGAUGUUGGCUUAGAAGCAGCCAUCAUUUAAAGAAAGCGUAAUAGCUCACUGGUCGAGUCGGCCUGCGCGGAAGAUGUAACGGGGCUAAACUAUGCACCGAAGCUGCGGCAGCGAUAUGUAAAUAUUGUUGGGUAGGGGAGCGUUCUGUAAGCCUGUGAAGGUGUACUGUGAGGUAUGCUGGAGGUAUCAGAAGUGCGAAUGCUGACAUAAGUAACGAUAAUGCGGGUGAAAAACCCGCACGCCGGAAGACCAAGGGUUCCUGUCCAACGUUAAUCGGGGCAGGGUGAGUCGACCCCUAAGGCGAGGCAGAAAUGCGUAGUCGAUGGGAAACGGGUUAAUAUUCCCGUACUGGUGAUAAUUGCGAUGGGGGGACGGAGAAGGCUAGGCUGGCCGGGCGACGGUUGUCCCGGUUUAAGGAUGUAGGCAGGUGAAUUAGGCAAAUCCGGUUCACUAUAUGCUGAGGUCUGAUGACGAGUCACUACGGUGGCGAAGUAGCUCAUGCCCCGCUUCCAGGAAAAGCCUCUAAGCUCUAGAUUAUCACUAAUCGUACCCCAAACCGACACAGGUGGUCAGGUAGAGAAUACUCAGGCGCUUGAGAGAACUCGGGUGAAGGAACUAGGCAAAAUGGUGCCGUAACUUCGGGAGAAGGCACGCUGGCGUUAGGUGAAGUGGUUUACCCAUGGAGCUGAAGCCAGUCGCAGAUACCAGCUGGCUGCAACUGUUUAUUAAAAACACAGCACUGUGCAAACACGAAAGUGGACGUAUACGGUGUGACGCCUGCCCGGUGCUGGAAGGUUAAUUGAUGGGGUUAUCCGUAAGGAGAAGCUCUUGAUCGAAGCCCCAGUAAACGGCGGCCGUAACUAUAACGGUCCUAAGGUAGCGAAAUUCCUUGUCGGGUAAGUUCCGACCUGCACGAAUGGCGUAAUGAUGGCCAGGCUGUCUCCACCCGAGACUCAGUGAAAUUGAACUCGCUGUGAAGAUGCAGUGUACCCGCGGCAAGACGGAAAGACCCCGUGAACCUUUACUAUAGCUUGACACUGAACAUUGAGCCUUGAUGUGUAGGAUAGGUGGGAGGCUUUGAAGUGUGGACGCCAGUCUGCAUGGAGCCAACCUUGAAAUACCACCCUUUAAUGUUUGAUGUUCUAACGUUGCCCCGUUAUCCGGGGUGCGGACAGUGUCUGGUGGGUAGUUUGACUGGGGCGGUCUCCUCCCAAAGAGUAACGGAGGAGCACGAAGGUUGGCUAAGCAUGGUCGGACAUCAUGCGGUUAGUGCAAAGGCAUAAGCCAGCUUGACUGCGAGAGUGACGGCUCGAGCAGGUACGAAAGUAGGUCUUAGUGAUCCGGUGGUUCUGAAUGGAAGGGCCAUCGCUCAACGGAUAAAAGGUACUCCGGGGAUAACAGGCUGAUACCGCCCAAGAGUUCAUAUCGACGGCGGUGUUUGGCACCUCGAUGUCGGCUCAUCACAUCCUGGGGCUGAAGUAGGUCCCAAGGGUACGGCUGUUCGCCGUUUAAAGUGGUACGCGAGCUGGGUUUAGAACGUCGUGAGACAGUUCGGUCCCUAUCUGCCGUGGGCGUUGGAAGAUUGAAAGGGGCUGCUCCUAGUACGAGAGGACCGGAGUGGACGCACCACUGGUGUUCGGGUUGUCAUGCCAAUGGCAUUGCCCGGUAGCUAAGUGCGGAAGAGAUAACCGCUGAAAGCAUCUAAGCGGGAAACUUGCCUUGAGAUGAGUCUUCCCUGACCCUUUAAGGGUCCUAAAGGAACGUUUAAGACUAAGACGUUGAUAGGUUGGGUGUGUAAGCAUAGCGAUAUGUUGAGCUAACCAAUACUAAUGAACCGUGAGGCUUAACCUG